RNAcentral lists this transfer RNA (69 nucleotides) under Marmota monax (woodchuck). RNAcentral describes it as "tRNA.Ala". Lineage: Eukaryota; Metazoa; Chordata; Mammalia; Rodentia; Sciuridae. The record is from RNAcentral.
GUUUGUAGCUCAGAGGUAGAGCGCUUGCCUGGCAUGUGUGAGUCCCUGGGUUUGAUCCUCAGUAUCACA